RNAcentral lists this long non-coding RNA (251 nucleotides) under Salvia miltiorrhiza (redroot sage). Its description in RNAcentral is "long non-coding RNA (SMIL_LNC009237)". Lineage: Eukaryota; Viridiplantae; Streptophyta; Magnoliopsida; Lamiales; Lamiaceae. The record is from RNAcentral.
GGGAGUAUGUUUGAUCGUUUGUUUAUUUUUGGUUUGGUGUGUUUAAACUAUGGUUCGAUGUUUUGCUUAUGUUUUUAAACUCGUAAAGCUUUGGUUUUUGAUAGUUUUUGAUGUUUAUGUUGCAUGAGCUUGUGAAUGUUUGCUUAUUUGGUUACUAUCUUGGUUUAUGCUUGCUAUGUUGGUUUUUGCGAUUGAGUGGUAUUUUUGCAGGGGGAGUAUUUGUUGUUUUGUGAAGAAAAGAAAAAAGGGGG